AAGUCGUAACAAGGUUUCCGUAGGUGAACCUGCGGAAGGAUCAUUAUCGUAGGGGGCAUAGCCCCCGAAAGGAUGUAGACCAGCCAAAAUUGUAGUUUCAUACGGCAAUGAAAGGCAUCAAAGGAGCCUGUUCUGCGAAAUAGCUUACCCUUUUUUUAGCGGUGCAGGACACUACUAGUUGUUUAUUUCAUUGCGACCUCUCACUAAAGAUGCUUCUCUUGCUAGACGUGGCGUGCGUAGAAUCUAGCGUGAGGCGUAGAUGUGCAUCGUAAAGGGUAGUGCACCCCAGAACCUGGUUGGUGUCAAUCCCGAGAUGCUGCCUUCUUGGACGUGGUCAAGGGUGUUUCUCCCGCCAUACCCGGCAGGCGUAACGCCCGAGAUCACUCUUUAGAGCAAAUAUAGCUACAUGAUUGGCUGGUUUACACAGCUCAGUUACCCUUGUAUAUGAGUACUACUGUUUCCUCGGCAAGCCUGCUUGCCAAUGGGGACUUUCUCAAACCUUUUAUGUUGUUGUAACCGUAACCAAACAAAUAAUCAAAACUUUCAACAACGGAUCUCUUGUUCUGGCAUCGAUGAAGAACGCAGCGAAAUGCGAUAAGUAGUGUGAAUUGCAGAAUUCAGUGAAUCAUCGAAUCUUUGAACGCACAUUGCGCCCUGUGNAUUCCGCAGGGCAUGCCUGUUCGAGCGNCAUUUUACCCCCUCAAGCACUGCUUGUUGUUGGGCGUUUGUCCCACCUUUGGUAUGGACUCGCCUUGAAUAUAUUGGCAGCCAUCUCCCUGGCUUCGAGCGCAGCACCUUGCGUCCGGUACUUGGGGGUUGUGGCUCUCCAAAAGCACUCCUUUCGGUUGACCUCGGAUCAGGUAGGGAUACCCGCUGAACUUAAGCAUAUCAAUAAGCGGAGGAAAAGAAACCAACAGGGAUUGCCCUAGUAACGGCGAGUGAAGCGGCAACAGCUCAAAUUUGAAAUCUGGCUCCCUUGGGGGUCCGAGUUGUAAUUUGUAGAGGGUGCUUUGGUGUUAGCUGUGGUCUAAGUCCCUUGGAACAGGGCGUCACAGAGGGUGAGAAUCCCGUAUGUGGCCAGCAGCUUUCGCCUUGUAAAGCCCCUUCGACGAGUCGAGUUGUUUGGGAAUGCAGCUCUAAAUGGGAGGUAAAUUUCUUCUAAAGCUAAAUAUUGGCCAGAGACCGAUAGCGCACAAGUAGAGUGAUCGAAAGAUGAAAAGCACUUUGGAAAGAGAGUCAAAAAGCACGUGAAAUUGUUGAAAGGGAAGCGCUUGCAGCCAGACUUGCCCGUAGUUGCUCAUCCAGGCCUUGUGUCUGGUGCACUCUUCUGCGGGCAGGCCAGCAUCAGUUCAGGCGGUCGGAUAAAGGCUCUGGGAAUGUGGCUCCUCUCGGGGAGUGUUAUAGCCCAGGGUGCCAUGCGGCCAGCUUGGACUGAGGUCCGCGCUUCUGCUAGGAUGCUGGCGUAAUGGCUGUAAGCGGCC
This 1481-nucleotide ribosomal RNA is filed under the name uncultured fungus. RNAcentral's name for it is "eukaryotic LSU rRNA". The stretch from base 847 to 1481 matches the Rfam family "Eukaryotic large subunit ribosomal RNA", at positions 1 to 649 of the family's 3401-position model. Lineage: Eukaryota; Fungi. The record is from RNAcentral.